UCGGGGGUACUCGAGCGGCGAACGGGUGAGUAACACGUGAGUAAUCUGCCCUGCGCUCUGGGAUAGCCACCGGAAACGGUGAUUAAUACCGGAUAGGACCACUUCACGCAUGUGAUGGUGGUGGAAAGUUUUUUCGGCGCAGGAUGUGCUCGCGGCCUAUCAGCUUGUUGGUGAGGUAACGGCUCACCAAGGCUUUGACGGGUAACCGGCCUGAGAGGGUGACCGGUCACACUGGGACUGAGACACGGCCCAGACUCCUACGGGAGGCAGCAGUGGGGAAUAUUGGACAAUGGGCGGAAGCCUGAUCCAGCAACGCCGCGUGAGGGAUGACGGCCUUCGGGUUGUAAACCUCUUUCAGUACCGACGAAGCGAAAGUGACGGUAGGUACAGAAGAAGGACCGGCCAACUACGUGCCAGCAGCCGCGGUAAUACGUAGGGUCCGAGCGUUGUCCGGAAUUAUUGGGCGUAAAGGGCUCGUAGGCGGUUUGUCGCGUCGGGAGUGAAAACACCGGGCUUAACUCGGUGCUUGCUUUCGAUACGGGCAGACUAGAGGUAUGCAGGGGAGAAUGGAAUUCCUGGUGUAGCGGUGAAAUGCGCAGAUAUCAGGAGGAACACCGGUGGCGAAGGCGGUUCUCUGGGCAUUACCUGACGCUGAGGAGCGAAAGUGUGGGGAGCGAACAGGAUUAGAUACCCUGGUAGUCCACACCGUAAACGUUGGGCGCUAGGUGUGGGGCCUAUUCCAUGGGUUCCGUGCCGUAGCUAACGCAUUAAG
Molecule: ribosomal RNA, 772 nt
Filed under: uncultured Nocardioides sp.
Lineage: Bacteria; Bacillati; Actinomycetota; Actinomycetes; Propionibacteriales; Nocardioidaceae
Description: bacterial SSU rRNA
Rfam family: Bacterial small subunit ribosomal RNA
Source: RNAcentral